Molecule: ribosomal RNA, 378 nt
Filed under: uncultured Desulfosporosinus sp.
Lineage: Bacteria; Bacillati; Bacillota; Clostridia; Eubacteriales; Desulfitobacteriaceae
Description: bacterial SSU rRNA
Rfam family: Bacterial small subunit ribosomal RNA
Source: RNAcentral
UAUAGAGAUAUAGUGGAGGUUACCAUGGAGACGAGGUGGUGCAUGGUUGUCGUCAGCUCGUGUCGUGAGAUGUUGGGUUAAGUCCCGCAACGAGCGCAACCCUUAUUGCUAGUUACCAUCAUUAAGUUGGGGACUCUAGCGAGACUGCCAGUGAUAAACUGGAGGAAGGUGGGGAUGACGUCAAAUCAUCAUGCCCCUUAUGUUCUGGGCUACACACGUGCUACAAUGGCCGGUACAGGCGGACGCAAAGCCGCGAGGUGGAGCAAAUCCUAAAAAGCCGGUCUCAGUUCGGAUUGCAGGCUGCAAUUCGCCUGCAUGAAGUCGGAAUCGCUAGUAAUCGCAGGUCAGCAUACUGCGGUGAAUACGUUCCCGGGCCUU